This 420-nucleotide ribosomal RNA is filed under the name uncultured bacterium. RNAcentral describes it as "bacterial SSU rRNA". It matches the Rfam family "Bacterial small subunit ribosomal RNA", at positions 355 to 774 of the family's 1533-position model. The record is from RNAcentral.
UGAGGAAUAUUGCUCAAUGGGAGAAAUCCUGAAGCAGCAACGCCGCGUGGAGGAUGAAGGGUCUAUGACUUGUAAACUCCUGUAAAGAAGGAAAAAAUUCCCAUUAGAUGGGAGAUGAUGGUACUUCUGGAGUAAGCCCCGGCUAACUACGUGCCAGCAGCCGCGGUAAUACGUAGGGGGCAAGCGUUGUCCGGAUUUACUGGGUGUAAAGGGUGCUCAGGCGGAUUUGUAAGUCAGAGGUGAAAUCUUACAGCUUAACUGUGAAACUGCCUUUGAUACUGCAAGCCUAGAGUAUGGAAGAGAGUGAUGGAAUAUCUGGUGUAGCAGUGAAAUGCGUAGAUAUCAGAUAGAACACCAAUGGCGAAGGCAGUCACUUGGUCCAUUACUGACGCUAAAGCACGAAAGCGUGGGUAGCAAACA